This is a long non-coding RNA of Panicum virgatum (switchgrass), 1065 nucleotides long. RefSeq lists it as uncharacterized. The record is from RefSeq and is a predicted model, not a curated record. Lineage: Eukaryota; Viridiplantae; Streptophyta; Magnoliopsida; Poales; Poaceae. The transcript is spliced from 2 exons.
GAAUCGACGAAUCGUCGUCUCCAUCUUGUGAAUCGGCGGCGCCGCCCCUCCGAAACCAAACGUCGCGGCGCCCCUUCGUGUGCCGCCGCCGCCGAUCGUCGCCGCCUGGAGGCGGGCCGCCGGUUCGAUGAAGGCGAGCAAGAGGGCCGCGGACGUCGUGAUUGCCGGCUGCUGAUGGCGGUGACGCGUGUGCUGGCGAGGAUCCAUUGUUGUCGUUGUCGGCCGCCGGCCUCCGCCCGCGAUGCGAGCCUCCGGUCGAGGGGUGCGCGCCGGCGUUGCCGGCCGCUUACCGCCGAUGGUGCGGCCGUGGAGGAUCCGCUCGCGUUGAAGAAGGGGGUCACAUCUUUGAGGCGUCGCGGGAUGGGCGCUGCCGAGGGCGGCGCCGCCGUUGGUGGUGGAGGCGCUGGUCGCGAUAGCAGUGAGGCGGACGCCGGCGAGGCCGUCACCGAUGCCACUGUCAGAGGAGGUACGGGCGCCGAGGGCGUCGUCGCUGGUGGCUCCGCUGCUCUGCCGAUGGCAGAUUGGUGGGCGCCGCCGCCGAGGGCGGCUGUACAGGUUCGGAUGUGCCGUCGGCCGGCGUCGAAGAACGACGGUGCGUUCGUUCUUCUGUGUUCCUCGGAGUUGCAAAGAAAAUGUAAGUGAAUAGUCCAUUCUUACUCGUCGAAGUUUAGGCCUCUUGGCCUCUCUCCUGUCUUUUUUUCUUUUGCGUUGCAUGAAUUCCGGCGAGGUCUCCGGCGAGGAAUUCCGGCGACGAACUCCGGUGAAGUCUCCCUGCAGUGGCCUUCGCAGGGGUGUGAGGGCGACUUGUCCUCCAGCGUGUUCGUCUAGUUCUCUGGAAAUCGAAGUCGGCGAGUUUCUUGCUUUCGGCGAGAUGGCCGAUCUCUCCUGGCGUGUCUGUUCUCGUCGAGUUUCCUGUUGCUUUCUUCUUGCAUGAACUCGGAGAGUUCUGUUUCGUUCUCGGCGAGAUGGCCGAUCGCUCUAGUGGGAGCAAUGGCUGAUAACGUGUUAAGAAUGAAAGUGAAAGAGAGAAAGGAUUAAGGGAAUGAAUGAACUGUUGUGUAUUAA